Molecule: small nuclear RNA, 91 nt
Filed under: Microtus ochrogaster (prairie vole)
Lineage: Eukaryota; Metazoa; Chordata; Mammalia; Rodentia; Cricetidae
Source: RNAcentral
GACGUAUGCAAAAACGGGAACAAUACAGAGAAGACUGGCAUGGCCUCCGCACACAGAUGACUCGUAGAUUCGUGAAGAGUUCCAUGUUAGA